Molecule: ribosomal RNA, 460 nt
Filed under: uncultured bacterium
Lineage: Bacteria
Description: partial 16S ribosomal RNA
Rfam family: Bacterial small subunit ribosomal RNA
Source: RNAcentral
CCUACGAGAGGCAGCAGUGAGGAAUAUUGGUCAAUGGGCGCGAGCCUGAACCAGCCAAGUCGCGUGAGGGAUGAAGGUUCUAUGGAUCGUAAACCUCUUUUAUAAGGGAAUAAAGUGUGGGACGUGUCCUAUUUUGUAUGUACCUUAUGAAUAAGGAUCGGCUAACUCCGUGCCAGCAGCCGCGGUAAUACGGAGGAUCCGAGCGUUAUCCGGAUUUAUUGGGUUUAAAGGGUGCGUAGGCGGCCUUUUAAGUCAGCGGUGAAAGUCUGUGGCUCAACCAUAGAAUUGCCGUUGAAACUGGGGGGCUAGAGUAUGUUUGAGGCAGGCGGAAUGAGUGGUGUAGCGGUGAAAUGCUUAGAGAUCACGCAGAACCCCGAUUGCGAAGGCAGCCUGCCAAGCCAUGACUGACGCUGAUGCACGAAAGCGUGGGGAUCAAACAGGAUUAGAUACCCGGGUAGUC